Molecule: ribosomal RNA, 424 nt
Filed under: uncultured bacterium
Lineage: Bacteria
Description: bacterial SSU rRNA
Rfam family: Bacterial small subunit ribosomal RNA
Source: RNAcentral
UGGGGAAUAUUGCGCAAUGGACGAAAGUCUGACGCAGCCACGCCGCGUGAGCGAUGAAGGCCCUCGGGUCGUAAAGCUCUGUGGAUGGAGAAGAAUAAAGGCUGUGAAGAGCAGCCCUUGACGGUAUCCAUUUAGCAAGCACCGGCUAACUCCGUGCCAGCAGCCGCGGUAAUACGGAGGGUGCAAACGUUGCUCGGAAUCAUUGGGCGUAAAGCGCGCGUAGGCGGCUUGGUAAGUUGGAUGUGAAAGCCCAGGGCUCAACCUGGAAGUGCAUCCAAAACUACCUGGCUUGAAUUGCGGAGGGGGCCAGAGAAUUCCCGGUGUAGAGGUGAAAUUCGUAGAUAUCGGGAGGAAUACCAGUGGCGAAGGCGCUGGCCUGGACGACAAUUGACGCUGAGGUGCGAAAGCGUGGGGAGCGAACAGG